RNAcentral lists this long non-coding RNA (323 nucleotides) under Elaeis guineensis (African oil palm). RNAcentral describes it as "long non-coding RNA (EGUI_LNC060534)". The record is from RNAcentral. Lineage: Eukaryota; Viridiplantae; Streptophyta; Magnoliopsida; Arecales; Arecaceae.
GUUCUACAAAAGAUAACUUGACCAUUUUUUCUUGAAGAUAAGAUUCACAAGUUGGGUACGACUCUGAAUCAAAAGAGUUAAGGAUCUCAUCCUUUUUCAGUUUGUUUAUCCUGUUCUCUUCAAUAUGGCUUAGUCUAUGAUGCCACAAGUACUUUUGGUUAAUUGAGAUCUCUUUUAGCCUAUGGCACUCACUACUUGCUUGUUUAAAUUUAUAUUCACAUCAAUAUACAAGUGAUAAAGACUGUUAAUUAAAAGAUCACAUACAAUCAAUAUAUUUCAUAAAUAAAUGGAACAAAAGUUUUUAUUGAAAUUAAAAUCAAAAC